GCUGGUUUGGCUCAAUGGAUAGAGUGUUGCCUAACAGGUCCUGGGUUUGAAUCCCAGUACAGGCA
Molecule: transfer RNA, 65 nt
Filed under: Myotis brandtii (Brandt's bat)
Lineage: Eukaryota; Metazoa; Chordata; Mammalia; Chiroptera; Vespertilionidae
Rfam family: tRNA
About the family: Transfer RNA (tRNA) molecules are approximately 80 nucleotides in length. Their secondary structure includes four short double-helical elements and three loops (D, anti-codon, and T loops).
Source: Rfam by way of RNAcentral